Molecule: ribosomal RNA, 108 nt
Filed under: Phocaeicola barnesiae
Lineage: Bacteria; Pseudomonadati; Bacteroidota; Bacteroidia; Bacteroidales; Bacteroidaceae
Description: partial 16S ribosomal RNA
Rfam family: Bacterial small subunit ribosomal RNA
Source: RNAcentral
ACAAUGAAGAGUUUGAUCCUGGCUCAGGAUGAACGCUAGCUACAGGCUUAACACAUGCAAGUCGAGGGGCAGCGGGAAGUCAGCUUGCUGACUUUGCCGGCGACCGGC